UUGAUGAUGAUAUGGUCACAUAUUUAAGAUCAAUGUAUUCCUAUGUUUAUAUACAUUAGAUCUUAAAUAUGUGACCAUAUCAUCAUCAA
This is a non-coding RNA of Podarcis lilfordi (Lilford's wall lizard), 89 nucleotides long. Lineage: Eukaryota; Metazoa; Chordata; Lepidosauria; Squamata; Lacertidae. The record is from the annotation of a GenBank genome assembly.